Molecule: ribosomal RNA, 1962 nt
Filed under: Triticum aestivum (bread wheat)
Lineage: Eukaryota; Viridiplantae; Streptophyta; Magnoliopsida; Poales; Poaceae
Description: partial small subunit ribosomal RNA
Source: RNAcentral
GCUGUUUUCGAGCUCCUCAGCGAAGACCUCGUACCGAUAACCGCGUCACGUACGCCACGCGGCCUCAGACCUCAGUAGUCCACGAAAUUGACCGAGGGAACCCGCGCAUGGAGCGGAGGCAGCCGCAGACCGCGCUGGCGCCGCGGCGGAAGGGCGCGCCGGCGGCGAGCCAGGAGUGGCUGGUGGUGCCGGCGGCGGGGGAGGAGAGCACGGGGGAGUUCGGGAGGCACCGGAUCAUGGAGAUAACGGGGCUCCCCGCGCGGGACCUCCGCAUGCUCGACCCGCAGAUCUCCUACCCGUCCACCAUCCUCGGCCGCGACCGCGCCAUCGUCGUCAACCUGGAGCACGUCAAGGCCAUCGUCACCGCCGCCGAGGUGCUCGUCCGCGACCCCGGCAACCCGCGCCUCCGCCCCUUCCUCCAAGAACUCCACGCCCGCCUCGCGCUCCCGGAUGCGUCUACCACUAAUCCGGCAACCGACGACAUAGACCUGGGUGGUGAUCAGGGGAACGUGCCAAUGCCUGGCAGCGCUAAGAUCCAGCCCUUCGAGUUCAAGGUGCUAGAGGUCUGCCUCGAACACACAUGCAAAUGCAUGGAAUCCGAGACGUUGGCCCUCGAGAAGGAGGCGUAUCCGGCCUUGGACAAGCUGACCUCCAAGGUUAGCACGCUCAACCUGGAGCACGUCAGGCAGAUCAAGAGCCGCCUGGUAGAGCUAACAGGCCGCGUGCAGAAGGUGAGGGAUGAUAUCGAGCAGUUGGUUGACGAUGACACGGAUAUGUCCGAGAUGUACCUGACGAGGAAGCUUGCGUUUCAAGGAGUCAAUGAGUCAUCGGUUAAAGUGGACUCCAACAAACAUGCAUCUCCUGACCAUGAGGAUGAGAAGGAGGAAGAAGACAGUGGCGAUGGCAUAGAGAGCUCCCACGGAAGUUCCGCUUUUGUUAAGCCUGAUGUAGAAGAGUUGGAAAUGCUUCUCGAAGCUUACUUCGUGCAGUUUGAUGGCACGCUGAACAAAUUAUGCCAUCUCCGCGACUAUGUGGACGACACUGAGGAUUACAUCAACAUGAUGCUGGACGAGAAGCAGAACCAGCUGCUGCAGAUGGGCGUGAUGCUCACGACGGCGACCGUGGUGAUCACCGCUGGCAUCGUGGUCGUGAGCCUGUUCGGCAUGAACAUCCACAUCGAGCUGACGUUAGAUCCGGAGACCCCCGAGAUGGCAAGGAUCAAAAACAGAAAGUUCUGGGAGACCACCUGGGCCACCGUUGCCGGCUGCGCCGCCAUAUACCUCCUGGCAAUCUAUGCAGGGAAGAAGAGCAAAUACUUGCAGUGAUGCUGCCUUGUUCUCUGUUCUGCGGUCCAGGGCCACGUUUUUGCCUCCGCGAAGGGAUUUGUUCUGUCCGGAAGACGCAGUAGCUUAUGCUUUUUUUUUAGCCGCAGCAGCUGAUGCUUGGUUUGGGUAGGAAUAACGAAUGACAGUCAUCUAAAGAUCCCUUAUUUAUCCUGUCGUAUCAAUUUACAACUACGUAGUUUUGUAAAAGAGGUCAACGACAGUUGUGGUCUCAAGUCUUCAGUGAAACCAACAGACGAUCCCAGGUUUCACGGAUGGUAUGUAAACCAAAGAUUUUCCAUCAUUGCUGCACCUGAAGUGCUCACUAGCGGAUGUACAAAAGGUAUUACGGAACUCAGCAUAUGUAAGUCUAAGACACGUCAGCUAAAACUUCAGUUAGAUGGUUACUAUGUUUGCGCCUUCCUUGAUCUGGUCCGUCGAACCUGGCAAAAAAAAAGAGGAAUAUCAGCUCAUGAUAUUCACAAAUGAGGGAUGAAUCAUGCAUAUGCUUCCCAAAUGCACUUACAUUGUCUAUUGUGUCCACGGCUGAUCCAGCAGAAUUUUUUGCAUUUCUCAAAUCCAAUGCUCUCUUGCUUUUCUUCUUGAGGGCAGCCACUGCUAAAAAAUGGAAGGUUGAUCG